This 100-nucleotide ribosomal RNA is filed under the name uncultured bacterium. RNAcentral describes it as "partial 16S ribosomal RNA". The record is from RNAcentral.
CCUUCGGGUUGUAAAGCUCUGUCAGGAGGGACGAAGCCACUCAGGUUAAUAGCCGAGAGGGUGACGGUACCUCCAGAGGAAGCCCCGGCUAACUACGUGC